GCAUUAUGGGCUUAUCGGACGACUCAUCGCACCCCUACAGGGGUUACACCAUAUUCGCUUGUUUACGGUGUGGAGGCUGUCCUUCCUCUCGAAAGGGAAAUUCCGUCACUAAGAAUGGCAGUACAAGAGGGAUUGACUACCGAAGAUAAUGUGAAGUUACGUCUUCAAGAAUUAGAAGCACUUGACGAAAAGCGAUUAGAGGCUCAGCAAGCAUUGGAAUGUUAUCAAGCGAGAAUGUCCAAAGCUUUUGAUAAACACGUUAAACCUCGCUCCUUUCAAGUCGGUGAUCUAGUACUUGCCGUAAGGAGACCGAUCAUCACAACAAGGCAUACAGGAAAUAAGUUCACACCUAAAUGGGAUGGACCUUACAUUGUUAAAGAAGUUUAUACAAAUGGCGCAUACAAGAUCGUUGAUCAAGACGGACUACGAAUUGGCCCAAUCAAUGGUAAAUUUCUUAAAAAAUUUAUGCUUAAUUUUGUUAGGUAAAAAAAAAAAAAAAGUUGAACUACGUUAUGACUUGAUCCCUAUAUUAUAAAGGGUACGUAGGCAGCUUAAGGAAAACCUUAAGCCCAGUCCAGCAAAAAAAAAUUGAACUACGUUAUGACUUGAUCCCUAUAUUAUAAAGGGUACGUAGGCAGCUUAAGGAAAACCUUAAGCCCAGUCCAGCAAAAAAAAAAAGUUGAACUACGUUAUGACUUGAUCCCUAUAUUAUAAAGGGUACGUAGGCAGCUUAAGGAAAACCUUAAGCCCAGUCCAGCAAAAAAAAAGUUGAACUACGAUAUGACUUGAUCCAUAUAUUAUAAAAGGUAUGUAGGCAGCUUAAAGGAAACUUUAAGUUCAGUCCAGUAAAAAAAAAGAGAAGAAAGACAAAUUACAUUUAAUAGAAAAUAUGAUGAGGGGUGGAACAAUGAAAGAAUAAUUUUUUUUAAUAUUAUUAUAAACUUCUAGCAAAAAAAAAAAAAAUUAAAAAGCUUCCAAAGGAUUGGCGUCAACCAUCAUAGAGUAUCUUGAACAUAAAAAGCUUCCAAAGGAUUCUCGUCAUAAAAUUGAGAUACGAAGAAGGGCAGCACACUUCAUUUAUUACAAGGCAGCUUAAGGAAAACCUUAAGCCAAGUCCAGCAAAAAAAAAAAAGUUUGAACUACGUUAUGACUUGAUCCCUAUAUUAUAAAGGGUACGUAGGCCAGCUUAAGGAAAACCCUAAGCCCAGUCUAGCAAAAAAAAAAAAGUUGAACUACGAUAUAACUUGAUCCCUAUAUUAUAAAGGGUAUAUUGGCAGCUUAAAGGAAACUUUAAGUUUAGUCCAGUAAAAAAAGGAAGAAAGACAAAUUACAUUUAAUAGAAAAUAUGAUGAGGGGUGGAACAAUGAAAGAAUAAUUUUUUUUAUUAUUAUUAUAAACUUCUAGCAAACAAAAAAAAAUUAAAAAGGCAUAAGUAGAUAAACAAGAGAAGGCAGAGAAUCAUGGAGUCCAUUUAAAGUUCUUCAGCUCCUCUAGUGUGCUUUCUAAAGAUUCACGAAGUGUUGAUAGCAUUUUAGCGUCAAUAUCUCCAACGAUCGGGGCACAUUCGAGUUGGUUAAUUUCCUCACAAGUCUUCGAAAUCUCAUGUUGCUUCUGCUUCAGCUCCAGGUCGUUCUUGAAAUUAUGCCAGAAAGUUUAGCAGACUCAGCCCGCACCAUCUUUAGUUUUGCCUCUAGUUUAGCCUCCUUAGCGGACAGUCGUGUAAGACGACGUUUAGCAAUGUUGGUCUCUGCCAAUAUACGAUUCUCAUCAACUCGCAGAGUUCUUCAAAAAACCUUUUGCCUCCGUUAACUGAACAUCCUUAGUUGAUUGGAGUAGAAAUCAGGAAUGUAUUUGAUUAUGGUUCUCGACACCUUGGAAGUAACAAUUCACAAGCUCCUCAAAACAAUAAGGUUGUCGCUGUCGCUAGUCGCAAUCGCAUCAAAGAUCUUAUGCAUUUCUGGUUCAAUACUACUCAGUUCGUUCAAAAGGGGACGAAUGAUCUUCUGUCGUAGGUUUUUCCAUAAGGUUAUGGCAGUCUGUCGUCCGGAGGUUAGAAAUUAAGCUGUCAGCACAAAAAUGAGAAAUCUCAGAAGCUGCAAUAGGCUCUGUUCCUUCCACUUUUUGAGGAGGUCCCUUGAUCACAGGAGGACGAGCAGACACAAUAUUUGCGCCUAUAGGUUUCUUAGAGUUCCCAUUAUAAGAAAGUACAAUGUUACAGUCUUCUAGAUUCGACAUCGACUCUAGGGUAUCUUCGAUGUGUAGGUCAUGAUCACCUAAAGAAGACUGCAAAAUAAUAUUAACAACAAGAAAUAAGAGGAGUAAAGGAGAGAAAAUACAAUAAAUAAAUAAAUAAAAAGGGAGACGAAAAGAAACCAUGGGGGAAGGGACAUCGAAGAAUUGUGGCAGCAUCAGGGACCCGAAUAGGAGACUCUUCAUCAUCGAUCGACUGUUUGUUGGGCUUCUUGGGUCUCUUCCAAUGGCGAUCAUCAUUGCUGCUUUGACUGUCCUCAAUACGUUUAGAAUGAUGCUUGGCAGCUAUCGAUAAGCGGUUGUCCUUACCCACAUUGUCAAUACCACCUUUAAUAAGAUGUUUAAAUCGUGUAGAAAGAGACAAAUUAUCCACCAAGCGUUUUGUCCCUCCCUCAAUUUUCUCCACAAGUCGUUCAUCAGUUUCAUCGGAGCAUAUCUUCUGAUUUCCACUACCAAAAUUAUUUUCAAUCUUUUUUGUGGUUUUGGAUUUGAUGUGAGGGGGAGUAGGACGAUCUAUCAAAUGUUGUACUCCUUCUUGGAAGGUAAUCACCGUGUUUUGCAAGCCACCAGACCUUAUAAUGAGAGGUAACAUGUGUGUCUGGGUUAGGGGCAGACACUGGAAGAUAUACUUGGGAAAGCGUAUUCUCGCGAAUACAAAUCAUUCAACAUAAUCGUAACGUUAAAAAAAUAAUUGGCUUAGGGAAUUUCUUCACCUAAGUCAUAUGGCACGUCUUGAUAAAAUCCAAAUUGUCGGCUAAAGCGACAAGGACUAUAAGGCUCAAUAACUGUGGAGGAUCCACAUUGCGAGGAUAGAAAACAAGAAGCGAAUGCUUAUGAAAAAUGAAGGCAUUCCAACUAAUUAACUCUCCAUCAUCCGUUAAGAGUUCGUCCUUAUUCUUUGUUGGAAGACACGCAUGCCAUGACACAUACUUUCCCUUGUGGAUAUGUGUUCGAGCCUCAAGAUUAGUAUAAUAUUUGGCCCCACCUUCACCAGAAAAUUCAACCAUGCAAGGACCCCUAAGACUCCUAGGGGCUUUAUAAUGAGUGUUGAAGGUAAAGAGCAAGCCACCCAUGGACAUAGUGAAGAGGAAAACAGGCAUUUGAAUAACCAAGUGAUGAAGUAGAAUCAUGAACUUGGCGUAGGCCACUAUAACUAUUAGCUAAAACAGGGACGACAAGGCUAAAUGUGUAGCCUUCCGCCAUGAGGCUAGCAACCUUAAAAACCUCCAGACGAAGGGAAAGUUGCUUAUCAGGGAACACAAACACCACAUAGCCAACAAGAGAGAAAUGCCGCUAGAUAGGUUUUUGUCCCUAUGAUCAUCAGUGGCGCUUAAGUCAAGGAACACUUUGAGUUCAGCUUCAGACCAGUCAGGACGUCUGAUGGGAAUUCCAUCUGGAUUAUGAGUUGAGCGAAGGGCGAGAAGUCUUUUUUAGGCUUUCGAGGAGGCGGUUUCGAAUACUUUACCUCAGAUCGUGUAACCCAGAAAGAGAUCCAUUCACUUACAGUGAUUUGAGAGUGAUCCAUGCGUUGAGAAACAAUGCGGUAAUCAGGCUGCAAAUAAAUGCUCACAACUUCUUGGACAUACAUCAGGUGAUCCUAUUUAAGUCUUGGUGGCAAGGAAUGCUUUCUUCAUAAAAUCUACCUUUAAUCGGGAGUCCUCCUAGUAUCCAUAAGUCCCAUAAGGAGAUGGACAUUCUCACCAGCUGAGGUGUGAAGAGUGUUUGUUAAAGGACACCAUGCCUCGCAGAAAGCCCGAUCAAUGUCACUGUUGCGAUCAUAUGUAUAUAGGGAAGCCAUCACAGCAUUAAAUAGGGAUCGCUUGAGUACUGCCGUAUUUCUAGCAACAACGAGCUCUAACCACUCCCAAUAAUGAGGAAGAUAGUAAAAUUCUCCAUGUACCUUGAGCACAUUUCCCCAACGAAUUUUUUGGGUCGUUUAUAAUUCGACGACCCAACGUUGAUUCUGGAUCCUCAUUUGGAGGCUUGUUGUGAAUCGAAGACUCCAGAAACCAAGAUUUUAAAGAUGAAUUUGGAUUUACAAACCGUUCCUUGGACCAUUUAGGCAAAAAGAUAAAAUUGUCCUCGAGUAUUUGGGAGUCCAUAAUAUUCUCAUAUGUCCCUCUCUCACAGGAAGAAUGAUCCCUUCCUCUAAAGAUUGAUCUACGUCCUUCAGGAUAAUUAAACACCUUUUGGUCGAGUCAGAAUACUCAGUGAAGUGCACCAUGAUGAAAAGUAGAGUUCCUGCAAAAUAAUAAUAAUAAUAAUAAUAAGAAGUAGAAAAACAAAAAAAAAAACCAAAAAACAAAAGAAAAGAAAAAGAAAAAAAAAGAAAGAAAGAAGAAAAAAAAAGGGUGGGGAAGAAAAAGCAAAUGAAGAUUGAAGCCUAACGAUGACAGAGUCGAUCUCUCCUACUAGGGCGAUAGAUCUGACGGCAAAAGCCCGAUCGUCCCUAGAAGAAGCUCAACAAAGUCAUUUAUGCAAACGAAGAUUGAAGCUCGACGAUGACAGAGUCGAUCUCUCCUACUAGGGCGAUAGAUCUGACGGCAAAAGCCCGAUCGUCCUAGAAGAAGCUCAACAAAGUCAUUUCUGCAAACGAAGAUUGAAGCCCGACGAUGACAGAGUCGAUCUCAACUACUAGGGCGAUAGAUCUGACGGCAAAAGCCCGAUCGUUCCUAGAAGAAGCUCAACAAAGUCAUUUCUGCAAACGAAGAUCGAAGCCCGACGAUGACAGAGUCGAUCUCUCCUACUAGGGCGAUAGAUCUGACGGCAAUAGCCCGAUCGUCCCUAGAAGAAGCUCAACAAAGUCAUUUCUGCAAACGAAGAUUGAAGCCUGACGAUGACAAAGUCCGAUCUCUCCUACUAGGGCGGUAGAUCUGACGGCAAAAGUCCGAUCGUCUCUAGAAGAAGCUCGACAAAGUCAUUCCUGCAAAAAAAAAAAAAAAAAAAACAAAACAAACAAAAACAAAAAACAAAACAACACACAAAAAAAACAAAACAAAAUAAAAAACACACACAAAAAAAAGAGAAAAAAGAGAAAGGGAGAAGAAAAGUUUUCUAUACCUUUCUGCUUAUUGGAUGAGGAAUAAGCGUUGGAUGAGGUAUAAGUGAGUAGGUAUGAGUCUAUUUAUAAGUCCAACAAAUUCAAUUCCUAAAAGGAUUAGGAAUGAUAUUUAAUUAUUUUUUUAAAACAAAUCCAAUUCCUAAAAGGAAUAGGAAUGAUUUUAAAUAUAUAUAUAUAAAGAAAAGAUAAUCCAAUUAUCUUAUUUUAUUUUAAAUUAUUUCAUUUUUUUCUCGAUAAAUCUCAAGUUUAACUUUUAUUGAGAUAUUUAAAAUAUUUAAAAAUUUCAACAUUUUUUUUAAAAAAAAAAUAUAUAUAUAGAUAAAUAUUCUCAAUUUCAAAAUUCAAGUUAAAUUAACUUGCAUAUAUGACCUCUUUUUUAUCAUGAAUUUAAAUCGGAGCCAUAAAUCCAACUUUAUUUAAGAUUGAGGACCUGAUUUUUUAUCUCAAAUUAAAAUUGGUCAUUCCAAAUUCUUAUGCAUCCCAAGAUAAAUUAAGGUACGGUAGAAACAUUAUCCUUAUUUCAAAAUUAAAAUUUUGGUUAUAUUCCAAAUUUUACUUAAAAAAAAAUCAUCAUAUUAAAUUUUUUUAUCCUCAAAUAAAAUUAAGUUGAGAAUAAAACUUUGAAUUUUUUAAGGUUUGACCAUAUUACAACCCUUAUUUUAAAUUUAAAUCAAACUCACGUACUAAAUUCAUAGUUUGAUUAAUUUGAUAUGUUGAAUUGAGUAAAAAAAAAAAGAAGCUCGUACUUUGACUUCAAAUUUAUCUUUUCCGAGAUUCAUUCACCCAUAUACGUGCAUAAAUCUCGAAAAGGGGCAUUUGUUGAAUAAGAAAUUUUGAGACCAAUCACAAGUUGCCACAUCAUUUAUUAAGUUAAUGAUGAAAAGUACAAAUAAUUAAAUUUGGGACUAAUUAAAAUUGACAUAUGCUCCAAACUAAUGAGUUAAAAAUAAAUAAAUUGGUCAUUCUAAUAAUGCCACAUAUUUUUCAUAUUAAUCGUUGGAUUAAGUUAAUCAUUUUUAGUUCAAUUAAAUAUUAUUUACUUGGACUAAGUUCAAUUAAGCCCAAAAAUAAACUUAAUUGAGCCCAAAGACUAAAUAUAACCUAAGUCCAUAUGGUUGAACGCAUGGGGUCUGGUCCAUGGACCAACCAGGUUCAAACCCAUAAAGCCCACCAGUGAACUCUAUAAAUAGAGAAAUUCUCCUCAUUUGUAGGGGUUGGCGAAAAUUUUGAUCGAGAGAGAAUUCUUCCAAGAGCCUAGAAGACUCCCUAACUCCUGAAGUCGACCAUCCUCGAAGAUUGAAGUUUCUUUAAAGAUACAAGCUUUCUUUCAAGGCUCCAACUUCAAGAACAUCACGUGCUUCGCUUCCUCCAAAUCAAGCUAAAGCAUCUAGUUGAGAGAGAAUUAGAGGAUCAAAUUCUAGAGAUUGAACCGCAUCGCAUCAAAUCAACAAAAAUACAACAUCAACCCAAGUUCAAGUCCACGAAUUAAAUUUCUCCGGAAAUCUCGUGCGAACAAGAUGUAUCUUAGACAAAUAUAUAUUUAAUCAUAAUUAUAAUAGCUAGUAGGUUCAAUUUCAUAAGUACGACUUUUUAAUUAGCAAUGUUUUUUCUAAAAUAAAUUGCAACAUGUGUGUUCUCCAAUUAAAAAAAGAGAAAAAAAAAAAAAAAAAGACUAGUAAACACAUCCUUUCUCUUGUUCUCAAACCCAACAUUACAUUAUAUAUAUAGAAUCCAUAUCAAGGCCCUCAAGAGCUUAUAUUGUUUACGUUUUAAACAUAAACAAUGAGAAUUGUUGGGAUUGUUUUUUGGUGGCGCUGGUGGCGACCACCGUGCUUCAAGCAGCGGAGGCGGUGGUGAUUCCGGUCGGGGGUGACAGUGGCUGGAUACGUCCUCCUAAUUCUGACUUCUAUUCCUCUUGGGCCGCGGGUCUAAAGUUUACCGUCGGAGAUAUUUUAGGUUUGGUUCCAUAUAUAUAUAUACACUAAUUCUCUGCUGUUUAAUUCUUUAUUUUCGUUACUGAGGCGUGCUAAUUCGAUUGAUAUAAUAUGUUUAUUAUUAAUUACAUGAAGUUUAAUAUAUCAUUUUCAUCUUUACUAUAAUUUUGCUUUUUACCUAUAUAUUUGCGUGGUCUCUGUCACUCACAUGUGUACUUGAAUAGCAAGAAGAUACAAAACAUUAGAUAAUAUUAAACUGAUUAGUAUAAUAUGGACUUAUUUAAUACUAUACAACAUAAUUUAAUCUCUCAAAUUACAAACUAAAAAGUAAAUUAAUUAAUAGUAAUAUUGGCCUAAAUGAUUAACUUCUUUAAUUUUCUUAAAAUUUCAAAUACUGCUAGAACUGAAACAAAUAUCCUCAAAGUUUUUUGUCUUAUUUUUUUAUUACAACUACUCUGUAUAAAAAUGUUUAGGUCAAUAAUUGUUAAUUAUUCAUUCUUAAAAUUUGGUGGUUGAAUUUCAAACUUCAACGAGGUGAAAGUUUUUUUUCAAAAUUACACUCAAGUAAAAAUUGUUUAUAGUAAUUAAUUUUUGACAAAUAAUAAAUAAAAAAAUAGUAAUUCAAGUUCAAGUUUUGAGUCGUUGUUGUUUCUAUUUCGGUUGCAGUGUUCAACUUUAUGGCGGAGCUCACGACGUGGCCGGAGUGACAAAAGAAGGUUACGACAACUGCAUCACAACCGAUCCUAUAUUCUUAAACACUACAUCCCCUUUUUCUUUCACUCUCGAUAAACUUGACGAUUACUUUUUCAUCUGCACCAUCCCCGGCCACUGCUCCGCCGGCCAGAAAUUGGCCAUCACCAACCUCCAACAAUCGCCCCACCUACCUCUCCCAGUACUCCUCCCGUUCCCGGUAACGAGCCAACACCAACACCACCUGCCUCCCCUGAUUCUCCACCCAUUUCGAAUGAAAUGCCACCGCCCGUCCCAGUUAUUGCUGCUCCGCCGCCACCAAACUCCGCCACCAGUAUUGUGGGCUCUAUAUUCACUGUUGCCUUCGUCUCCAUCGCUGUCAGCUUCAUAAUAUAUUAAUCACUCGUCGUUUUCUUUCUUUGUUUUAGUUAUUAUUAAUGUUUGGCUUAUUACAUAAGAGUUGAGGGGUUUUGUCAACGGCGCUAUUUUCAGUAUUGUAUUGAGAUUUUUAUUUUUAUUUUAAAUUUUAUUAUAGUUUUGCUUUUGGUUUAUGUGAAAAAAUUAUUGGAUGAGAUUGUUAGGUAUAAUGUAGGGUCACAGUUCUUACAUAAUUAUUAAAUAUCUGGCUGUAAAAUAAAUAAAUAAAACUAAGUACUUUAAACUUGUAUUCAAUGUUUUAUUAAAAGGCCAUCCCAGUGAAUAACAUGUAAGUUUCAAGACAUGUUUACAUUUUAGAAAUUGAAAAAAAAAUAAUAAUAACUGGAUUUUUAAAAGAUACCCCAACCAAUAUGAUCAAAACAUCAAUUCAAAAUAACAAAUCCAAUAAAGAAAACAAUUUUGUUUCAUCCGGAAUUUAACUUUUUGUAGUACAAGUGAAAGGGAUGAUUUGAAUCUUAGACUUGUUAAUCCUUAUAUGUAUUCAGAUGACAGUUAAACUAAGCUAUAGUCGACUACGAUACUAUAUUAAUAAAUCAUAAAGCUAACCAUAUAGUUAGCCCCUAAAUUUUGACUUUGAAUAUAACUCAUGAUUACAUAAUUUAUGAAUAUUUAGUUUUUUUAAAAUAUAUUUUAAUUUAAAAAAGUAAUCGAGUUUAUAACUUAAAACACUGGUAUUUACAAAUACUUUUAUCCUUUUUAAUUUUAAAAUUUAAAAUUUGAAAUCCAGAUACAUUAAAAACGUGUCUAAGUUGCAGAGUCUGAUAACAAUUGUCAUAUACCCUUCCCCAAUACUCUAUAAAACUAGAAUGAGAUGUGACGAUAAUAGACCCUAACGAACUAAGUAUGUAAUCCAUUCUCAAAAUGAAAAGAAUAAAAAAUAUAUAACAUUAUUAAAACUAAAAAAAUAUAUCUUUAUUAAAACUUAUAAUGCACAUUAAAUCCAAUAUUGUAAAAUAUAUAUGUACACCACCCAUCAAAAUUUAAAACCAUUUCCAAUACCUUUGCUUUAACUUGAACAUAUGUACAUACAAAUGAAGACAUGCACAAAUAUAUGAGGUUUGGUUUUUUCUUUUUUAAUUUUUACCUUUACUUUUUUUUUCUUAAUGAAAUAAAAAGAAUGUUGAUGUUUGAAUUGGAUGUAAAAAUUCUUCUUCAUUGUCUUUCCUUAUUGAACUUUUCUUUAUUGCUUUAGUCAUAGGAUCUUGGCUCGAUGGUAAUGGAUUGUUUUCCUUAUAAUUAAUUAGUAAAUUUUCUUACCUAUUUGUUGGUCCUUGUUGCUUUUUGGGUGGAAGAUGAACGAGAACAUCUUUUGGUGUGUUGAAUGAUAGACAAUGGUUUUUGUCUGCUUCAUGAGAAGCUGUUGAUCUCAAGAAGAUAGUAUUCUUAUUGAUUUGAUCUUGGAAGACGUACAACUUUUUAUUGACAAGUUGUUCGACACUGACUGUGAAGAGAAUUAGUUGUAGUGUUUAGGGGGAGCCUAACAAUACUAUAGUGUUGGAGUUGAAUAAUCAGGGAGCUUAGUUCUAUCAAAGGAGAGUCAACCAAGUAUUAAACUACUUUCGGGAUAGCCUAAGUGAUCCUUUAGCUUAAUCUUGCAAUUUAUCAAGACUACUUUAGAAAGAUAAGUUGCAUAUACUUGUAAUCCAUAUUAUAUACUCUAGUGAACAUUCUUCUCAAUUGGACAAAGCCUCCAAACAUAGACAAUAUUUCACUUUAAGUGGAUUACCAAGUAUCAUGUGUUAUUUCUUUGUUGUAUUACCGUGUUGAUCCCUUUCUCAAUUGGUAUCAGGAGAUAACCAGAAUGUCUUCAAACUCAUAAACACAUGUGUGUUUCGGCACAAAUGUUUUGGAAGAUUCUUGACGUUGCUCAUGAAGGAACCUUUAAAGUCAAAAUCUCUCAACUUCAAAUCUUAAUAUCUCGAUUUGAGGCUCUAAAAAUGAGGACGAGUCUAUUAUUGAGUAUAAUGUGAAAAUUUUUGACCUUGCAAAUGAAAGCUAGGAAAAAAAUGUAAGACGAAAAACUAGUGAAGAAAGUUCUUUGAUCCCUUCCAAAGAUAUACAAUAUGAAAGUAACAUUCAUUAUUGAAGAAGCCAAUGAUGUAUCCAAAAUGAAACUUAUUGAUUUUUUUUUGUAAAUCCAAUGAGAAUCUAAUCUUCAUUCCUUCAAUUAAGUUGUAGGGGAUUUAAAAUGAAGAGGUUGAUAUAAAAUACAUGAUUUUUUGUAAAUCCAAUGAGAAUCUAAUCUCAUUCCUUCAAUUAAGUUGUAGAGGAUUUGACAUGAAGAGGUUGAUAUAAAAUACAUUAAUUUUGGUAAAGUAUUGAGGAAGUUAUGAAUGUUUCAAGUUUGUUUAGUGAAUCUAGAAAAUUGUGUAAAAAGUAUGAAAUGUGGUUUUAUUUCUUAAGUUUAGAAUUCAUGAGCGACAUUUUUUGUACAUCAUCUUAAACUUAUUAUAGAAAGACAAGAAUAUUCGGGUUCUAAUUCUCGAAUUUGGUUUGCUUGUCAGACCAUGAGGAAAUAGGUUGAGAUUACAAACUAGGAAACUAGUUCGAUCAAGACUAUGAGUGAUAAAACAAUUUUUUCUGACUACAAAUUUAUGAGCUCUACAUGAUUCACAUGACUAAUUUACAGCAUGAGUUUCGAAUUUAAAUUUGUUUAAGGAGUUGUAUAUUAACACAUGAAUAUUGAGUUUCUGUUUAAAGUAUUUGAAACGGUAAUAUUUUAGGCAAAACAUGUUUUAGCAAGUAUUGUUUAAAUUUUCAAGUUUUCUAUAAACAAGCUAAGUAAGGCUUAAGUUUUUACGAAAGAAAUGAUAAGAUGACAUGCUUAAAUAUUUUCGUGAGAUCAUAUUAUGAGUUUUCUAUUGACUACAUGACAGAGAUAUUGAGUUUGAGUCUGUAUGGUACUGUGUGCACAUAGGUUAUAUUCCAUUGUUGACGUUGAAGUUUAGCUCCGUGUCAAUGAUGUUGUCGGAGGUGAUGGGUGAGGCCCACCACGACAAAUAUGAUGGGAGUGAUGGGUGAUGCCUACUACAUCGUCCAGUUGAAGUUAGGGAUUAUGUUGGGAUAAAUUUCUAAUAGGAAAACCUAAUUAGAAAUUUAAUAUGGUUUUCCCUAGAUCAAUAUAUAUAAUGAACAAUGCCCUUUGUUGUUGACUACAUUAAUCACACGUCUAUAUAUCUAACAUAUCUAACAUAUACAAUCAUAGUCACAUAUUAUACAUUAAUCUAAAACGUGGAAUUGCACAAUCAACAUUGGGUUGACAAUCAAUAACACGAAAAUGUAAUUCAUAAUAACAAAGAAAAUCAUAGACAACAAAUAUCAAUCAUACUAUCAAAAUACUCCAAAAAUAAAAAAAAAAAUACAACAAGUUCCUCCAAAAUCCUCAAAACUAAAAAGAACUAAAAUCUUACUUUCUCACAUUAAUGGUAGAAAAGAUAGAGACCCACAUCGUUUUUGGUGGAUUACAAAGUUAAGAUGAAAUCAAACCUAAAAACCAAUAUUAUAGAUGGAUAGAGAGAGAAAAAAACAUGAAGAACAUGACUGACCAUUUGUCCAAAACGACCACCUAGAUCAAAAGAUAUAACCUAAAAAUCAAAGCUACAAAUUUAUAUCUGCACGACAGCGUCGUGGCACUACAAGACGAUGUCAUCCUCAUAGUGUUGCUAUCACAUAAAUGUAAAUUUUGCACCCUUUUCAAUUUUGUCCAAGUCUUGAAGAGAGGAAGUCUCACAUCUAGGGAAAGCUUAACGUUUCUAGAGAGUUAGCUCUACAUAAUUUUCAUGUAAUCUUGAGAGCAUAUAAAUAAAGGAAAUUGCAUCAGAUGACAAAGAAAUUCUUUUUUAAAAAAAAGUAGCUCAUAGUACCUCUUUUUUGCAUAUUGAAUAUAUGUCAGUAUGACAAAUAAUUAGAUAUAUCCAAUGACUAUCAUAGGUAUAUCCACUUUUAAAUUUGAUAUUUUUGCAAUUUAGAAAAUGUAGUGACAUGUGUUCUAUUAUCAUAAUUUUUUUUUGUUAUUUUUGCAAACAUUCUUAUAAAUAAAUACAACUUUAUAAUUGCUUAAUACAUUGAUAUUAAUUAGUAAGACUCUCUCCCUUAGACAUAUAUAUAGUUGUUGUAUCACCAAACUAAGUUAACAAUUCUUGUGUAACAUCUUAUAUUGUACCGAAGAACCGGUCUAAUUUCACAAAAGUUUUCGAACAGUUUUUUAUAAUCUAUAUUUUCCGUUUAUGAAUUAUUAUAAAUCAUUUAAUUCACAGUAGAUUACAAUUUGAUUGGCCAAAUAUAAAUAAAAAUUAAACAAAUGAGAUAAGAAAAGUAAUUAAAGAAAUGGUCGUAUCGAGUUCCGAUCCUUUGCAUACAAGUUCUUCACCCAAUUAGAGCUGUUGUAUAUCACUUCUUCGUUUCCAUUAUUGAAGAUUAACAUAAUCGUACACGUUUUGUCUACUUCGCCAAAUUAUAUAUGUUGUUGAAUACUGACCAACUACAAGUUUGGACCUUGACUUCUUCUUACGGUUCCCACACUACGAAGCAUCUAUAAAAAUCCACCCAUCUGUUAUCUUUUCUUCUCCAUUAUAUAUCCAUUAUCAUCAUUAAAAUAAGAAAAAUGGCUACAAAACUAAUGAGUUUAAGUUCAAUUGCCUGUCUUCUCCUUGUUGGGGCUUUCCUCCAUGUUGCCUCCGCUGUCGACUAUGAUGUUGGUGGUGAUUUCGGCUGGAGCCUACCACCGAACCCCACCUUCUUCUCUGAUUGGGCUCGUAAUAAAACUUUCUUUGUGGGUGAUAAACUAGGUUAGUGAUUCAUUAUAUGCCCUUACUCAUACUCCAUUUUUGUUCGUUAAAUUACACAUUUAAAUUAACUUUUAAUUUCAAAUUUAGUAAGUUAAUUUUAUGUUGUGGUAAAAUUUUAUAAUCGCUCUAUAGUACUAUUAGGUUACUUAUUUAACCUUUGUUUUUCUUUUGUUAAAUAUGAUACAAAAUUAUAUGCCCAUUAACUUUGGGGGUAUGUUUCCAUGAUUCUAUUAUUUGAUGUUAAAAAGUUUCAAUUUGACUAAAAUCAACUUUUAAAUGUGUUCUAAACAAAUACCUUUGAAAAAACUCCAUCAUUAAAAUAAGAUGUAAAUGGGUGCCGUAACUAAUUGUAACAUCAUUUAACUGGUAUAAAAUGAUUCACUUAAAUUAACUUGAUAAUCGUAUACUAAAUGUGUUUUAAUUUAUUGAGAUGAAAUAAAUGAUAACAAUGUAAUUUUAAUCUUGUAUAAUACAUAGGAUUGUUUUCAAAUAGAGCAAAAUAAACAAACUAUCAUUGAUAAAUGUUGAUUAACGUACAUCGAUAGGAUUAUUAAUUAUCAUCAUCUAUCACUCAAAUAUGUGUUUAUCAAUAUCUAAAAUUAUCUAUCAGGAUAAUAUCACAUAGUUUUACACAUCAAUUCUCAUACUUUAAUUUUCUUGAAAAAACUUAAAUUUGAAAAGUUAAAAAUAAAACUUUAUGAAGUAUUGGUUAUACACAAUAGUUAAAACCCAUAACAAUUUAGAUUGUGUUAGGACAUAUUGACCCUCUAAAUAUUUUUAAACACUUAUUUUACAUCUAUAAAUACUUUUUUUGAAGCAUUAAAAAUUGAAUCCGUACACUUAUUUUACAUCUAUAAAUACCUUUUUUGAAGCAUUAAAAAUUCAAUCCAAACAUACGGAUAGUCCCUAAAUUUUGAAUAAGUAAUUCAACUUGGUUAGUAUAUAUUUUGAAAGUCUCUCUAAAAUUUAGAUUCCAAUAUUUUUGAUAAUUUAUUUAAAAAAUUAUUUCUAUUUAACUUGUUCAUUGUAAAAAGAUUUUUAAACUUGACCAAUUUUUUUUUUAAUAAUAUCUAAAUUGUUACAAAUCAUAUAAUACAUGAACAAGUAUUUACCAACGAAAAUAAGAGAACUAUAAAUUGUUUUUGUGUGCAGUGUUCCGAUCAAAAGCGUCAGAGACCCAUGAUGUGGCAGAGCCUGAUGGGCAAGUAGAUUUGGAUGGAUGUGUGGAGCCAGGAAUUAGUUUAAGUACAUCUGCUGUGUUAUCUAUUUCACUUGAUUCUCCACGUCGCCGUUACUUUAUUUGUACUAUUGGGAAUCAUUGUAAUGCGGGUAUGAAAUUUGCUGUCGACGUUUUUAUAAACCCCAACUCUGCCAUGCCGCCACCGCCCAGCUCUGCCUCUUCCUUAAGAUUUGGUGCAGUUUUGGCUGCAGCCAUGGCUGGAUUGUUCUUUCUUUUAACCAUAUGAUUGGUUAGCUUUAUUGUUGUUUCAUUAUUUUUUCUCCUUUUUAGAUCAUCUUGUGUGUGUUUCUAUCUUGUUCUAUUAUUUUUGUAGCUGUCUAAUUGUUUGAAUAAAUACUAUUGUAAUAUACUCCAUCAUAUAUGGUUAUCCAUUCUUUCUCUCUUUAUAAACAUAAUAAAAAAGAUUAAUAGAAAUGUAUAUUUGAAAGUAUAUAUAUUAAAUUAGUGCUGACACCAAAAGUCCAUGAUUAAAUUGUUAAUUUUAUAAAAGUUUAAGAAUAAAAAGGAUUCUUAACAAAAUAUUAAAAAUAUAAGAAAUAUAAGUCAUCACACAAAUCAUAGAUAUGUUUUCGUGCUAUAAAUUCUAUUGUUUUUUUACUUUUGAAUGUCUGAAUUUAGUCAGUAAUUAACCCAUAAAAUUAUUUGGAAAAUAUCUUUACAUUAAUAAAUUACUUAUUUAUCGUUCAAUUAAUACUUUUUAAAAUUGUAUUUUCUAAGAAAGUAUAUUUUAAAUUAAGGAAAAUUUUUAAAAAUAGUAGAUUUUACAAAAUAUUUACAAUCUAUAACAAAUUCUAUCACCUAUAGUCAUUGAUAUGUUAUAGUAAUAGAAAACCAUUAGUAAUAGAAUCCCAAAUUUUGCUAUAGCUUAUAAAUAAUAUUUUAAUUUAUUUUACUAUUUUACAGAAUGUUCCUUCAAUUAAUAAAAUUACGUGUGAUUAGUAGCUAAAUUAUUAAUGAAUGCAAAUGUUGGCCUAUGUGACCAAAAGAAAAGUCAAAAGUCAUUACUUUUGAAACUCAACUAUUACCAUUGCAAUCUAAUUUUAAAUGGUUUUAAUUUACAAAAUUUUCAAAUGGAAAACACAUGCAUUUUUAUUUAUAAAAAAUAUAAUUUGGUCCACUUUAUAAUUAUUGAAAACCGACUCUCAUCUCGACCAAAGAAACUUCUACGAAUUUACAUUAACAAUUCAAAGUCAUAAUUGCCACAAAUUAUUUAAGUUGUAACCAAUAAGAAACUUGACUAAGUGACCAUUGAUUCAUAGAAUAAAGUAUAAUUUGUUAUUACAAGUCAUGUUGAAACAGCUACCAAGUUGUCAAGUAUUUGUUCCUUUCUUAUUGCCUGUGGCACGUCGGUCGUGGUAUUAUAUGUGACAUUGUUGCAUGCAGAUAGAAAAAUGCAAAAAUAACAUGUCCCUACAUUUUAUAAAUUGCAAGGGUAUCAAAUUUAAAAAGACGUUAACCCUAUGAUUAGUGUCUGAUAGCUCUCCGCUAGCGCUAUGAUUACCGUCUGAUAUCAUUAAUUUUGUCAUAUUCGCAAUAUGCAAAAGAAAAUAAGUGUCAUUAGCUAUUUUUUCUAAAUGAUUUUUUGUUAUUUGAUGCAAUUUCCUAGAAAAAUCUGGAUAAUUUUUUUCCUUAUCUAACAACAUUUUUAAAUUUUUUUGAUUUACUAUAUUUUUUUCCCCGUAAAGAGUUGAUUUAUUAUUUUCUUUAAUAUAGUCUCAACCAUUCCAAAACAUAUGUUAUAUGAUUUAAUUCGAUUUUAGGGUUGGUGGUUUGGAAGAAUAUUGAAGUGCAGAUUAUUUUGUGUUUAUGUCAAACUACAUAAGUGUGUCAAUCUAUGACAUUGAGGAGUUUUUAUCAUUGUAAGAAAUAAAAAAUAUACUGAAUGGUUAUAUAAUCUAUGUAUAUAUUGGUAAAGAUACGUGCAGUAAGAAAAAAUUACAAAACAUGAAUAAUAAUGUGUAUGUAUUAUUGAUGUUGUAAUAUAUAUGUGUAACAAAUCACAAAACAUAAAUUUAAUAUUCAGCGGUAUACCAUAGUAUAUAUAAAUGACGGGACAUUUAAUAAAAAUCAUAUGUCGAAUAUGACAGGAAGAUGAAUUGAAUAAUAAAAAAAUUAAACAAAAUAGAAAAAACAAUCAACAUAUUUGCUACAAAAUGGAAGAAGAAAGAACAAAUGACCAUAAUUUUUUUCACAUAAUGUUCACAGACGAUAAAAAUAAUGAGAUAAUGUUAUAUUUAAUUAUCAAAUUAUUCCAUAUUAUAGAAGAUUUCAUUUUAUAUUGAAUUAAUAAAAUAUUUUAAAUUAAUUUCCAUAAUAAAUUUAUACAUUAAUUAAUAGGCCAAAUAUGAAAGCUAAUAAUUUGAGUAUAAUCUACUUAAGGAAAUAAUUUGAAUUUUAUUUUAAAAAUUAUAUGUAAUUAAUAAAUAUGAUAAGGUUAUAAUUGUCGUGAAAAUAUGAAAACCUAAUCAAGGAAAUAAAUCAUAAUUUAGGUUAUUUGUGAAAUUUCCUAAUAGAUUUAGGUCAUUUGUCUACAUUUUUUUUUAAUUUAGAGAUUUCCAUGAUAGAGUCAUCAAGUAGUCUUGAUGAAGUUAUCUUGACUCCAUUUUUUUUGUUAUGUCUAAGAUAACAUGUUAGAUAAGUGAAAUCCUAUCAUUCACACUAUAAAUGAUUAAUCAUUUUGAGUCAUGAAUUAACUAUUAAAUACAAAUACUUCGUCCACCAGAUCAGAUAUUCUAAAUCACUGAGUAUGCAUGUGAAAAAACUUCAUUUUACAUUUGUAAAGAAAGCUGUAUUCCAACAACCUUAGUUGCUCUUUCCCUAAUUCCUUUAUUUUUUGUAAACACCUAUAUUUAUAAAGGUGUGUUCAUAAAGCAAACUAGUUUUUAGUUUUACAAACACACUUCAUCAAUCUAAAAAAGCACAUAAAGAUAUAUAGGAAACAAGCACUUCUGUACUCAUCUUUAAUAACAAAGAAAUAGAUCCUUUCCCGUGGAUGUAGGCUUCAAUUUGGCCGAACCACGUAAAUCAUUGUAGCAUCCUUCUUCUUCUCCUUCGUCUUCGUAUUGUUGCCAACUUCAUACACUCAAAAUCACAAUAGAGAAACACAUUAGGGUUUGUUAGCAAAAGAGAGGAAAAACGAAGAAGAUGAACAACAAAGAAAAGGUGAAAUAAUUCUCUCUCUCUUUUCAUUUCGUAUUUCUUUUCUCUCAUAACAUGCAGAAAUAAAAGAGACCUACCUCCUCACGCAUGUACAGCCGUUAAGCAAAUAACGUGGCUCUAUCUCCUCCAAGUAUUAUAGCAACCUGAAAAAUAAAGGUUCAAAUAGAAAUUAUAAAUAAUGGAAAAGGCCCAACAAUUGGUAUCAGGGCGAAUCUUGAUUUCAAGAAACUGAAUCUUGGAGGAAAUUAAAGCUAGAUAGACCUGAAUAAUGGCAGUGGCAAGAGUGGAAAUCGAGAAGUUCGAUGGAAAGAGAGACUUUGCCUUAUGGAAGGCAAAGAUUAAGGCCUUGUUAGGACAACAAAAAGCUCACAAAGCCCUUCUAGAUUCUUCAGAACUUCCAACAACCCUCACAGCAGUACAAAAUGAAGAAAUGAAAUUAAAUGCCUAUGGAACACUAAUACUAAACCUUAGUGACAAUGUUAUAAGGCAAGUACUAGAAGAAGAGACAACACACAAAAUUUGGAAGAAAUUAGAAAGUCUAUAUGCCACUAAAGAUCUCUCAAACAAGAUGUAUCUAAGGGAAAAAUUCUUUACAUAUAAAAUGGAUCCUUCCAAAAGUUUAACAGACAACUUAGAUAAGUUCAAGAAAAUAGUUUCAGACUUUAAAAGUCUUGAAGACAAACUCAGUGAUGAUAAUGAGGCAUUCGUUCUCCAAAAUUCUCUACCCGAGGCAUACAAAGAAGUGAAAAAUUCACUAAAGUAUGGUAAAGACUCAGCCAAAACAGAUGUCAUAAUAUCAACCCUAAGAACCAGAGAAUUGAAAAUACAGUUAUCUCAUAAGGAACAUCAAAGUGGAAAUGGUUUGUUUGUCAAAGGUAAAUCCCAAAACAAUCAGGGUAAAAAUAGUAGCAAAUCCUCCUCUUAUGAAGAUAAGAAAGUUAAACAAAAAGAGAAGUGUAAAUAGAGUAAAAAGAAGGGACACCUUCAAGAGUGUUUUUUCCUUAAAAGAAAUAUCAAGAAAAAGAAAAAGACUUAAAAGGAAAACAACCAUAAGCCUUCAUAGUAGAAAUAUCAUUUACCUACACGGAUGCCCUGACAUCAACCUUAGACCAAGCCAAUUAUGUUAACCCCUUCCGAAAACGUGAUUGGGUCCUAGACUCAGGAUGCACCUACCAUAUGACACUUUUUAGAGCAUGGUUCAAUACCUAUAAAGAAAUCAGUAGAGAGUCUGUGUUUAUGGGGAAUAAUAAUGCUUGUAACAUUGCUGGAAUUGGAUCGGUCACCAUGAAACUAAAGGAUGAGACUGUAAAUCUCCUUAGAAAUGUAAGACAUGUUCCUCACCUUAAAAGAAACUUAAUCUCCUUGGGAAUGCUAGACUCUCUAGGAUGCGAAUACAAAGGAAAAUGUGGAGUCUUCCAAGUUUUCAUGGACUCUAAAGAAGUAUUGGUUGGGGGAAAAGGUAAAUGACCUGUUUAUAAUAAAAGGGGUUGAAAUGAUAGAUGAAGCAAAUAUUGUAUUAGCUCUAAACUUAACAGAGGAUGACCUUUGGCACAAAAGACUGUCUCAUAUAAGUCAGAAGGGACUUGAGGCUUUAUCUAAACAAGACAUUCUACCUUUAGACAUAUGCAGUAAACUGUCUUUCUGUGAACACUGUGUGCUAGGCAAAGCAAGGAAACAAAGUUUCACCAAAGCACAACACACAACUAAAGGAAUUCUAGACUAUAUCUAUCCAGAUUUAUGGGUCCAACCCCAACUCCAAGCCUAAGAGCUCAAGGUAUUUCUUAUCAUUUACUGAUGAUUUUUCAAGAAAAAAUUGGAUUUAUUUUAAAAAAAAAGAUCAAGUUUUUGAAAAUUUUAAAAAUGAAAACUAAUGAUAGAAAAACAAACUGAUAAAGAGAUUAAAUACCUUAGAGCUGACAAUGGUUCGGAGUUUUGUGGAGAGGUGUUCAAUCAUUUUUGCAAGGAAAGUGGAAUCACAAGACACAAAAAUGUGAGAUACACACCUCAACAAAAUAUGGUGGCAGAAAGACUUAACAGAACUAUAAUGGAAAAGGUAAGAUGCCAACUAUCAGAUGUCAUUCUGGAAGAAAAGUUUUGGGUUGAAGUUGCUGCCUAUGCGGUGUACACAUUGAAUAGAAGCCCCAUACCUCCUUAGGACUCUUAACACCUGAGGAGAAAUGGUCCAUCUAAAUGAUCUUUAGGUGUUUGGAUGUGUAGGGUAUGUCCAUCAAAACUAAGGGAAACUAAAGGCUAGAGAUGUUAAGUGUAUGUUUGUUGGCUUCACAGAAGGGGUAAAGGGUUUCAAGUUGUGGCACACUAACAAGAAGUUCAUAAUUAGUAGGGAUGUUCAUUUCAGAGAAACUGAGAUGUUUAUGCAAGGGAAAGGUAAUACUAAAAGGAGCACUGAAGCCACAAAAACCUAUACUCAGAUUGAACUGGAGAAUGCUAGAAACGGUGCUCAAUUUACUAAGAAAACUAAAGUUAUUGAUCAAGAAAUAGAUGGAGAACAAACUAAAAUAGUUAAAGAACAAUCUAACUUGAGCCAAUAUUCCUAGCAAGAGACAGACAAAGAACGGUAAUUAUUCCUUCAAUCGGUAUGCUGAAACUAACUAUAUAAGUUUUUUUCUAAACGUUACUAUAGCUCCCAGUGAUAAUGAACCUAGUUCUUUUGAGGAAGUUAAGCUGUAAUGAUGCUAGACGGUGGAUUGAAGCCAUGAAUGAAGAAAUAAAUUCUCUAAAGGUAAAUGACACAUGGACCCUUAUCCCUUUACCUAAGGAAUGCAAACCAAUAGCAUCUAAGUGGAUCUAUAAACUCAAGGAAGGAGUCACUGAACUCACUACCAAGGUACAAGGCAAAGUUGGUAGCUAAGGACUUUACUCAAAGAGAAGGUAUAGACUAUUCUGAAAUUUUCUCACCAGUUGUUAAACAAACCUCUAUUAGACCUCUCUUAUCCCUAGUUACUUAAUAUAAUCUAGAGUUGGACCAACUUGAUGUAAAGGCAGCCUUCCUUCAUGGCUAUCUAGAUGAAACAAUUUACAUGGUUCAACCUAAAGGUUUUGAAGUUCAAGGUAAGGAAGACCUCUAUUGCUUACUAAAGAAGUCAAUAUAUGGACUGGAGCAAUCACCUAGGUGCUGGAUCUUAUGGUUUUAUAUCCAGACUGAGUUUUAAUAGAAGCUCAUACAAUAUGUGUGUCUACAUAAACUCAACAACCUAUAAGGAGAUGGUUUUCUUUCUACUGUAUGUCGAUGAUAUGCUCCUUGCCAGAAGCUCUAAGGAAGAUUUAACUCAUGUCAAAACUCUUUUAAGUAAAGAAUUUUACAUGAAGGAUUUAGGUGAAUCAAGAAAGAUCCUAGGAAUUGACAUCACAAGAGACAAAAACCAAUCCAUACGAAGCAUAAGUCAAUCAACCUACUAUGAGAAGGUGAUCAGAAGAUUCAACCUCACCACUGCUAGACCAAUCACACUUCCUAUUGCACAAUAUUUUAAACUAUCAGCCGCUAAUUUUCCUAGUGAGACAGACAUAGAGCACAAACUAUUAGAAAUUAAUAAGCUAGAUACAUUAUGGAUAACACAUUAAUAGAUACAUUUCUAGUUUCAAGAUACAUAUGCAUUUCUAGAUACAUGUAAUUAUUCAAGUACAUGAAUGGUAUGUAUUCAUGUACUUCAUUUAUUUUGUGUCUUUUAGGAAGUGUCUCUUGAAUACUAUAUAUAGAGAUCAUUUCCUUCAUUUGUAUACAAGAUAAAAGAAUCAAAUCAAUAGAAGCAAAUUGAGUUUUAGAAAGUAAGUGAGUUUCAAGAGAACAACAUUCUUCUCUUGUGUGUUAUUGAGUUUUCUAAGAGAACAAAUUUCUUCUCUUAAAAGUUUGUGAGAUUUAGAGUAAAUUUAGAGUGGGCUCGUCAACGCCUCCAACAAAGUGGUAUCAGAGCAAGGAUUGAAAGAUGUCAUCUAACAUGUUGCAGCCUCAACUUCCUCGUUUUGAGGGAAAAAACUAUAGGCGGUGGAGCCAGCAAAUGAAGGUUCUUUAUGGAUCUCAAGAUCUUUGGGAUAUUGUUGACAUCGGAUAUUCAGAGCCAGAAAGUGAGAAUGGUCUUUCAGCACAACAACUCAAUGAGUUGAGAGAUGCUAGAAAAAAGGAUAAGAAGGCAUUAUUUUUCAUCUACCAAUCUGUGGAUGAAAAUAUUUUUGAAAGAAUAUCAGGAGUCUCUACUGCUAAAGCAGCAUGGGAUGCAUUGCAAAAUUUGUAUGAAGGAGAAGAAAAGGUAAAAUUGGUCCGAUUACAAACACUUCGAGCUGAAUUUGAUACAAUUCGAAUGAAAGAUUCUGAAACUAUUGAAGAAUUUUUCAACCGUGUUCUCUUAAUUGUUAAUCAAUUGAGAUCAAAUGGAGAAACAAUUGAAGAUCAAAGGAUUGUUGAGAAGAUUCUUAGAAGCAUGACUAGAAGAUAUGAGCAUAUUGUUGUAGCAAUUGAAGAAUCCAAAGAUUUGUCAACUCUCUCUAUAAAUAGCUUAAUGGGAUCUCUUCAAUCUCAUGAGCUCAGAUUGAAGAUGUUUGAUUCUAAUCCUUCAGAAGAAGCUUUUCAUAUGCAGUCCUCCUAUAGAGGUCGAUCCAAUGGAAGAAGAGGUGGACGUGGUGGUAGAGGCAAUGGACGAUCCAACGUUGUAACAAAUACAGAGUCAGAAAGCAGAGACAAUCAAUUUUUUCAAAUAGAGGACGAGGAAGAAGUUCAAAUAGAGGAAGAGGUAGAAGUGGUGGUCGUGGAGAUUUUUCUCACAUACAAUGUUUCAAUUGUAGACGUUAUGGACAUUUUCAAGCAGACUGUUGGUCUAAGAAGACUAAUUCUAAUCAAGCAGAAACCACACUAAUGCAUGAGCAAUCAAAUAAUGAUCAAGGUCUUCUCUUCCUCACUCUCAAUGUUCAAGAAUCAAGCACUGAAGAAAUAUGGUAUCUUGAUAGUGGUUGUAGUAACCACAUGACAGGAAGAAAGGAUAUUUUUAUAUCUUUAGAUGAAUCUCAUCAAAAUGUAGUGAAGACUGGUGACAACAAGAUGCUUGAAGUCAAAGGAAAAGGAGAUAUUCUUGUCAAGACAAAAAUGGGAGCAAAAAAAAUUACUGAUGUGUAUUAUGUUUCAGGUCUCAAACACAAUCUUUUAAGUGUUGGACAACUUCUCCUAAGAGGACAUGAUGUUAUUUUUAAAGAUAACAUAUGUGAGAUUAGAACCAAGAAUGGAGAUCUCAUAACGAAGGUUCGUAUGACUCACAACAAAAUGUUUCCAAUUAAAAUAUGUUAUGAGAAGCUUGUUUGUUUUGAGACUUUAGUAAAUGACACCUCAUGGUUAUGGCAUUGUCGAUUUGGGCACCUAAGUUUUGACACUUUGUCUCACAUGUGUCAACAACAUAUGGUGAGAGGAAUGUCAAAUAUUAAAAAGGAAGAUCAACUCUGUGAAGCAUGUGUUUUCGGAAAGCAUCAUCGAAAUUCAUUUCCGACUGGAGGUUCUUGGAGAGCAUCAAAACCACUCGAGCUUGUUCAUACAGACUUAUGUGGACCUAUGAGAACUACUACACAUGGAGGUAACCGUUAUUUUCUCACAUUUAUUGAUGACUACAGUCGAAAAACAUGGAUUUAUCUACUAAAAGAAAAGAGUGCUACUUUCGAAUGUUUCAAGACAUUCAAAGCAAUGGUGGAAAAUGAAAGUAACUUGAAAUUGAAAUCAUUGCGUUCGGAUCGUGGAGGAGAAUAUAUUGUUUUUGCAGAUUUCUUGAAGGAAAAUGGAAUCAAGCAUCAGAAGACUGUUCGAAGAACUCCUCAACAAAACGGAGUUGCAGAGAGGAAAAAUAGAAUAAUAAUGGAACUUGCAAGAAGUAUGUUGAAGGCAAAGAAGCUUCCUGAUCAAUUUUGGGGAGACGCAGUAACUUGUGCUGUUUAUCUCCUAAAUAGAGCUUCAACGAAAAGUGUGCAAGGUAUUACUCCUCAAGAAGCAUGGAGCGGAUUGAAACCAACCGUUAGUCACCUAAGAGUGUUUGGGUGCAUUGCUUACUCUCACAUUUCAGAUGAGAAAAGAGGUAAGCUAGAUGAUAAAUCAGAGAAAUGCAUUUUUGUUGGGUACAGUGAGAACUCUAAGGCCUACAGACUAUACAAUCCGAUAAGUAAGAAAGUUAUUAUUAGUCGAGAUGUCAAGUUCGAUGAAGCAAAAUUGUGGCAAUGGAAUGCACCAAAUGAAGACCAAAAUCCAUUACAUGUUGAUAUGGAUGGAAAAAAAGAUGCUCGAGACUUGGAGCUUGAAGUAACUCAACCACUGACUUCACCUUCUUCAUCACACUCCACAAGUGAUGAAGAAACUACUCCAAGGAAGACCAGAAAUAUUCAAGAGAUCUAUAAUACUUCAAGAAGGAUACUAGAUGAAGAACAUGUUGAUUUUGCUUUAUUUGCAAAUGUUGAUCCUGUAUACUUUGAAGAAGCAAUUCAAGAUGAAAAUUGGAAAGAUGCAAUGAAUCAAGAGAUUGAUGCAAUAAGAAGAAACGAGACAUGGGAGUUAGUAAAAUUACCAGAAAAUAAAAAGGCUCUUGGAGUCAAAUGGAUCUAUAGAACAAAGCUAAAGCAAAACGGAGAAGUGCAAAAAUACAAAGCCAGACUCGUUGUAAAAGGUUACAAACAAAAGUUUGGUGUGGAUUAUGAAGAAGUUUUUGCACCGGUAACUCGCUUGGAGACUGUUCGUUUGUUGUUAGCCCUUGCAGCAAAAAAUAACUGGAAAGUUCAUCAAAUGGAUGUAAAGUCAGCAUUCCUAAAUGGGUAUUUAGAGGAUGAAAUAUAUGUUGAGCAACCCCCCGGUUAUGCAAAGAUUGGAGAAGAAAAUAAGGUGUGUCGAUUAAAGAAAGCCUUGUAUGGGCUAAAGCAAGCACCAAGGGCUUGGUACAGUCGCAUCGACAAUUUUUUCUUAAAGGAUGGUUUCAGAAGAUGUCCAUAUGAACAUGCUCUCUACACCAAAGAAGAUGAAAAUGGUAAUUUCUUGAUAAUUUGUCUAUAUGUUGAUGAUUUAAUAUUUACGGGCAACUCAAAUAUGAUGAUUGAAGAAUUCAAAGAGAGCAUGAAAAAGGAAUUUGAGAUGACUGAUAUGGGUUUACUUCAUUAUUUUCUUGGUAUUGAAGUUAAACAAGGUGAUAAUGAGAUUGCAAUUUUCCAAAAGAAGUAUGCAAAAGAUUUGUUGAAAAAGUUCAAAAUGGAGAAUGCUUAUCCUGCCAGUACUCCUAUGGAAUUGGGUUUAAAGUUAAGUAAGCAUGAUGUUAGUGAAGCUUUUGAUGCCACCAUUUAUAGAAGUUUGGUUGGAAGUUUAAUGUAUUUAACUACAACUAGACCUGAUAUUAUGUUCUCGGUCAGUUUAUUGAGUAGAUUUAUGACAUCACCAAAGAGAAGUCAUUGGGAAGCUGGAAAGAGAGUUCUUAGAUACAUUCUUGGAACUGUUGAUCAUGGAAUCCACUAUAAAAGGAAUGUGGAUAAUGUUCUUGUUGGCUACAGUGAUAGUGAUUGGGGAGGAAAUAUUGAUGAUUUCAAAAGUACUUCUGGGUAUGUAUUUAAUAUUGGUUCUGGAGCAGUUUCAUGGGCAUCAAAGAAGCAAGAUGUUGUAGCAUUGUCCACAACAGAAGCUGAAUACAUUUCUUUGUCUGUUGCUAGUUGUCAAGCACUUUGGCUAAGAAAUGUACUACAUGAAUUGAAGUGUCCUCAAGAGAAAGGGACCAUCAUGUUCUGUGACAAUCAAUCAUCUAUUUCACUUUCGAAGAAUCCCGUUUUUCAUGGAAGAAGCAAACACAUAAACAUCAAAUAUCAUUUCAUCAGAGAAUUGAUCAAAGAUGGAGAAGUAUAUAUCAGGUAUUGCAAGACUCAAGAUCAAGUUGCAGACGUAUUCACAAAAGCAUUAAAGACAGAUUCAUUCUUGAAAAUGAAAGAGAAGCUCGGAGUUUGGGAAGUCUAGCUUAAGGGGGCAUGUUAGAAAUUAAUAAGCUAGAUACAUUAUGGAUAACACAUUAAUAGAUACAUUUCUAGUUUCAAGAUACAUAUGCAUUUCUAGAUACAUGUAAUUAUUCAAGUACAUGAAUGGUAUGUAUUCAUGUACUUCAUUUAUUUUGUGUCUUUUAGGAAGUGUCUCUUGAAUACUAUAUAUAGAGAUCAUUUCCUUCAUUUGUAUACAAGAUAAAAGAAUCAAAUCAAUAGAAGCAAAUUGAGUUUUAGAAAGUAAGUGAGUUUCAAGAGAACAACAUUCUUCUCUUGUGUGUUAUUGAGUUUUCUAAGAGAACAAAUUUCUUCUCUUAAAAGUUUGUGAGAUUUAGAGUAAAUUUAGAGUGGGCUCGUCAACGCCUCCAACACAAACUACAUAUGGAAAAUGUACCCUACAGUCAUAGAGCACAAACUACAUAUGGAAAAUGUACCCUACAGUCAAGCAUUAAGAAGUUUAAUGUACUUGAUGAUCUCCACUAGAACUAAUCUAUCCAAUUCAGCAAGCCUAGUCAGCAGAUAUAUGGCUAAUCUUGAAAAACGGCACUAGAAAAAACUAAAUGGAUAAAGAGAUACUUAAUCUAGUCCAAGUCUACUAAAAUAAACUAUCAAAGGUCCACUAAGUCAGAACUAUAACUGAUUGGUUAUGUGGACUCAGACUUUGUCAGUGACAGUGACAAAAGAAGAAGUUUAAUCGGAUAUGUUUUCCUCUAUGACCCUAAUCUAAUUAGUUGGAAGCAACCCUACAAUCUAUUGUUGCUCUCUCUCAACUACAGAAGCAGAAUACAUAACAUUAGCAGAAGCUGUAAAAGAAGGAUUAUGGCUUAAAGGACUGAUGAAGGAGUUUGGAAUCAAACAGUGGAUUGUAAAAAUCUCCUGUGACAACCAAAGUCCCAUUCACCUAUCAAAAACCCACAAUACCACAGCCAAACAAAGCAUAUAGACAUAAAAUACCACUUUAUACGAGGAAAGAUUGAAGCUUACCAAGCCGGUCUCAACAAUGCAGCUCCAGAAGUUCCUCUAGCUGGUAGGUUUCAACCUACCUGAAAAAGAAUAGAUCAGAAAAAGAAGAGUAAGAUGGAAGGAUCACUAUCACAUGUUUAAGUUGGAUUCAAGGUGGAGAUUGUAAAGAAAACUGAAUUCCAACAACCUUAGUUGCUCUUUUCCUAAUUUUUUUUUUUUUUUUUUUUUUUUUUUUUUGUAAACACCUAUAAAUUUAAAGGUGUGUUCAUAAAGAAAACUAGUUUUUAGUUUACAGACACACUUCAUCAAAUUAUAUAUGUUGUUGGAUGUUGACCAACUACAAGUUUGGACAUUGACUUGUUCUUAUAUUGUUCCCGGACUACUUAAAAACAUCUAUAAAAAUCUACUCUUUCUGUUAUUUUUUCCUCUCAGUUAUUCAUCAUCAUCAUAAAAAUGGCUACAAAAUUAAUGAGUUGGAGUUCAAUUGCUUGUGUUUUCCUCGUGGGAGCUCUCCUACAAGUCGUUUACGGCUUUGAUUAUGAUGUUGGUGGCGAUUUCGGUUGGAACGUUCCACCAAUACCCACCUUCUUCUCCGAUUGGACUCAUAAUAAAACUUUCUUUGUUGGUGAUAAACUAGGUAGCUGCUUAAUUAUACCCUAAGACUACUUUUUGUUUGUUUCUAUUACAAAUUUAAGUAAAUUUAAAAUAAACCAUAUAUUAUGUUUUACAAUAAAAAUUAAAUCAUAUCGUACAAGUGAGAAAUACAUAAACUAAAUCAUUAUCGACAAGAAUGAGAGAUUCCUUGUUUUAUAGUUUGAUAUAUGUGUGGUUUGUUUUAUGUACAGUAUUCAAUCAAACUCGUCGGAGUUCCAUGACGUGCAGAGCCUGAAAGUCAAACGGAUUUUGAUGGAUGUGUGAAACCAGGAAUUAGUUUAAGUACAUCAUCUGCCAUGUUAUCUGUUCUACUUGAUUCUCCCCGUCGUCGUUACUUCAUUUGUACAAUUGGCAAUCAUUGUAACGCGGGUAUGAAAUUUACUGUCGACGUUUUUGUAAACCCCAACUCUGCCUUGCUGCCACCGCCGCCGCCGCCGCGAGCUCCGCUUCUUCCUUGAGAUUUGGUGCAGUUUUGGCUGCAGCAAUGACUGGAUUGCUCUUUCUCGUAACCAUAUAGUUAGUUAUUGUUUAUUGCUGUUUCAUUAUUUUUCUCGUUUUGUGAUCAUGUUGUGUGUGUUCCCAUAUUGUUCCAUUGGUUUUUGUAGAUGUUUCUUAUUGUUUGAAUAAAUGCUAUUGUAAUAUUCAUCAUAUAUUUAUGUAUUAUUCUUUUCUUUCUUUUCUUUUUUAAAUAAGUUAUUAGAAUGUAAUGUUUGGGCAAUUUGAAAAAGUUUAUAAACAAUUAUUAGGUAAGGCCUAAUUUACAUGUUUGGUAAAGUUUAUAUAUAUAAACUCAAUUAUUCCCAACUUGGAGUAGUUCAUGAAUUAAAUGACUACUUUCCUAAAGUUUAGGACUAAAAAAUAUUGAAAAUUAAGAAUGAAUAUGUCACACAUAAACAAAAUAUCUUGACAACUUUAGAGACAACAUUAGAAUAACAAAUUAUAUUAUAAAUGAAGAGUGAACACGUAGAGAUUUGUAAAUUUGUUCGGUGAUAUUCACAUACGUUCUGGCGGUAGCGUAUCAGAGAAUUAGAUAAUUCAAUUCACUAAUAUUUAAGAGUCCAGUGUUUACAACACGUAGGUAUGUGUGUGUGUAUAUAUAUUUGAAAAGUCACGAGAUUUAUAAUGAUACACAUAUAGAGCCUAACUCAAUAAUCACUUAGACUCCAUUAGAUGUGAGAUAGACUCCUCCUUAAUCGAAUUUAAGCUCCUCUGCAUAUGCAAAUUAGUAAAGAACACUCCAAGUUGUCUAGUUUAUAAAACUCCCACUCUCUUUUAAUGUUAUCUUUUUACCUCUAUUGUGAAGAUGUUUCACUAAUGAACCAAAGUUGGAGACCUCCAUUUUGUGUAAUGAAAGUCUCAGGCUUCCUCUAGCACCAUGAAAACUUCUUAUUCUUAAAUCUUCAACAAAUGUUUCGUAUGAUUAUUGAAUGUAGAUCAACGACAACACAAUGAGUAUUAUAUUAAACUGCCACCACAAAAACACAAGAAUUCCAAACCGCAGUAAAUAGAAGUGACAGCUUUAACAGUGUAAAGAUUUAUACAAACAAUAAUAGGAACAAUAAUGGAAAAGGAAAACAACCAUAAAUAACGAAAAUAGCUAUACAAAAAAUUUCAAAUAAGGAAACAUAAACUAGAAGAAUGGCACAACUUGUGUGACAUCUUUUGUGUCAACGUCUAUGACAACAUGUGAUCAUCCAUGAAACCAAAAACUAUUAACCUUAGACAAGUACGGAAAACUCUAACGGCAACAUCUUUAAUUAUAUGUUGAACUUUGCAUUAUUUUCUAGUUGACAUAUCUCUUCUCUUUUGACGUAUAUACUACUUUAAAUUGUGUUGUGUUGUAAGGUUGUUUAUGAUUUUCAUAAGUAUUAUAGUCAUAAUUGUUUUUAGAAGUAACGAAAAAUAAAAAUUUCAAUCUUUCUGCUCCAAGGAAGGAACAAUUCUUGCUCUUUUUUAACCAUGUUUAGUUUGGUCCAUAUAUAUAGUUAGAAUUUAUUGGAUAAAAAUUUGAGCUUUCAAACUAUGAAAAUAAAAUCUAAUGAUAAAUAAAUCAAAUCCCAACAUUAAGCAUUAAAAAAAAACUUUGGAUAGGUUCCCAAAAUUAUAGUCUAAUAUAUGAUGUGUUGAUAUUUUUCAUGACUGACUAUUUGACUUUGACCCUUCAAAGUUUGAGACCACCAAUGCCCCACUGGACCUUAAUGGCAUUGAUUCAAAUUUCAAUCAAACAUAAGUGUUUUAAUUUAGACAGUAAACAAUUCGUAACUAUUUUUAAUUCCUUUCAUUAUUUAAAUUGAUUUAUUUAUAAAAAACGUAAGAGAGUUUAAUUAGAAAACUUAUUAAUUUAAGACUUUUAGAUGAUUCGUAUAAAGAUAUAGAGACAUAAAUUAAUAUUUCUUCAAAUUUAAACAAAGUAAUUUAAAAGUUUAAAUGUUAAAAUAAAAUAAAUAUCGAAAAUGAAAAUUAAAACUUUUGAGUUGGAUAACAAGUUUAGUUGUUAGAUUGGUUGAAACGUGGAACUAAAUAAUUUCAACCAUGGUCGAGCUAAAGAAUUAAUACAUUAAUUUUAAAAUGGUAAUCGGUCUCAGUUAUUCACUAAAGUAAAUAAAUUUCAAAAAUAAUAAUUAGAAUUAGAAGUACAAUUCUCCACGGCUAUUAAUAUUGACCCAUUUCACUUCGUUUCAUUAUUUAAUUCAAAAUUGGCAACUCAUGUUCUCCUCUUUUAUACUAUAUUAUCCAUUUCCCACACCAUCAACCUCUUUUCUGUAUAAAUCUCUAUAAACUCCUCUAUAUAUACUCUUCUCUUCUUCUCAUUUCAGAAACAAAAGAUCUUCAAGAAUGGUUUCAACACAAAAAGUGACUUUCCUUGCUUCCUUCCUCUUCAUCGCUGCUCCUUCCGGCUGUUGCUGCUGUUGACUAUCAGGUCGGAGGUGAUUUCGGUUGGAACCUACCGCCAACUCCCACCUUCUUCUCCGAAUGGGCUAGUAAUAAGACUUUCUUUGUUGGCGAUAGGUUAAGUAAGUAAUCAUAUAUAUACUCUACAUUUUAUUUUAACUUCCAAAGCUUUCCUAAAUUUCUAUUAGAUUUCAAUUAUAUAUAUUCCUAAACUUUGAAAAUUGUUCUGAACGAUUACAUAAACCUCUUAGUUCUAGGAUAGAAGGUAAUACCAACUUUCACUUUCACAUGUUAUUAUUUACAACUAUAUAUAUAAUAUUUGGAUUAUUAACAUUUUUUUUAUUGUCUCAAAAUGUAUCAUAUUAUAAACACUUACGUAAUCCAUUUUUACACUUCAACCAUUGUGUCAAAUUAGAUGAUUAAAUGUUGUAUACAAUGCCAGUUGUUGCAUGAAUUUUCAUCAUUUUGUUUAUGAUGAAUAAAAGAAAAUUAAGGAUAAUUUGGAAGAUAAUUAGUAUAAUUCAUUUAAUAUUUGUUUACUUGCUAACUUAGAUUAAUUAUAUUUUAGAAUACUAAUUAGUUAAAUGUUUUAUUUUCUUGUAAUUGGCUAUAAAUAACCACUAGAAUUGUGAAAGAAAGCUUUGGAUCAUCAAUUUGAAAUAGAAUGUCCGUCCUUAGAUAUUUAACUGUCAUCUUAAGGGAUUAAACUUUUGUUUGUUUAUAGAUUUGACUUAAUACUUUUCUCAACCUAGGGUUCAAUUCAAGUGCAAAUGAAACUCACAACUAUGCAAUGCCUGGGUCUCAAGCAGAGCUUGAUGGGUGCGUGAAGCCAGGAAUAGUUUUUGUGGGAAAUGUGUUUUCCUGUACUGGAUCGUCCUGGUCGUAGAUACUUUAUAUGUGAAGUUGGUAACCAUUGCAAUUUGGGCAUGAAAUUUGCUAUUGAUGUUAUGCCUAUACUUGGAUCGAUGCCACCUAAUGCUGCACUCAAAAUUGAUGCAUUUCCUAUGCUACUACUCUUCAUCACCAUGAUCACCAAUUUCUUGUUCAUCAUAUGAGAUAUUAAUUUAUGCAUCUCUCCAAAUUAAUAAUCUCAAUGUUCUAUUUUUCUAGAGUAUUUGAUAUCUUUCUACUUCAUUCAAUAAAUGCUAUUGUAACAGGAUUGUACAUGCUUGCAUUUUUUUUUCUCCCUCACAAUUCAAUAUAAUGUACGUUUCUUUGAUUUGUUUGUAGUGAUUUAUAAAUUUGGCAUUUUUAUGGCCUUCAAGAUGAGAGUGAUAGGGAAUUAAUUAACUCUAGGGUACUUGAUUUUGCAUUUGUUCACUUGUGUUGAAUUAUCAAAUUUCUUUCAAGGGAGAAAAGAAAUUGUGUUGAGGGAGAAAGCAAGGUAUUUUGUCUUUGAAACGAACGACUAUAUUUAAAAAGAAAAAAAACAAAAAAACUCCUGACAUCGUAUGUACGACCAUCAAGAGUUUUAUUGGCGUCGAAAAUUUUACAAAGAUCUUCUAGUGCCAUAAACUUUUGACACCUAAAUACAGCAAAUUCUCAAUCGACAUUUUAUUUAACAACAUCAAGAAGACCUCUUCCAACACAUUUCGCUUGACCUGGCGUCCGACACACAUUAAUUUAUGUGUCGGAAAGAUCCUUUUUCGACGCAUUUUGAUAUUUUUCUUGACGAUUUUCUACUUCAGGAGAUCCAUAAUUUUUUUUAGUUUCGGUUGAAUAAGAAAUUUUGAGACCAAUCACAAAUUGCCACAUCAUUUAUUAAGUUAAUGAUGAAAAUACAAAUAAUUAAAUUUGAAACUAAUUAAAAUUGACAUGUGCCCCAAAUCAAAGAAUUGAAAAAGAAAAUAAAUUUGGCCAUUCUAAUAAUGUCACAUGUUUCAUCUUAAUCGUUGGAUUAAGUUAAUCAUUUUGGUUCAAUUAAAUAUUAUUUACUUGUACUAAGUUCAAUUAAGCUAAAAAAUAAGCUUAAUUGAGCCCAAAUACUAAAUAUAACCUAAUCCAUAUGGUUGAGCCCAUGGUCUAGUCCAUGGAUCAACCAGGUUAACCCAUAAAGCCCAGUGAACUCUAUAAAUAGAAGAAUUCUCUCAUUUGUAGGGGUUGGAAAAUUUGACUCUAGAAGAUCCAAAGAGAAUUCUUCCAAGAGCUAGAAGACUCCCUAACUCCUGAAUCGACAUUCUGAAGAUUGAAGCUUCUUUGAAGAUACAAGCUUUCUUCCAAGGCUCCAACUUCAAGAACAUCACGUGCUCCUUCCUCCAAAUCAAGCGAAGCACCCAGUCGAGAGAGAAUCAGAGGAUCAAAUUCUAGAGAUUGAACCGCAUUGCAUCAAAUCAACAAAAAUACAACAUCAACACCAAGUUCAAUCCACGAAUUAAAUUUCUCCGGAAAUCUCGUGCGAACAAAUUGGCACACCAGUGGGACCAUCUCUACCUCUCAUCUCUCUCUCGUCAUCUAGAGCUACAAGCAAAUCAAUGGCAUCAAAGAAAUCUGCAUCCAAAUCUUCACUGCAAGCGACACCUACCGGACCUAUCACCCGUAGUCGUUCCAAGGGGAUCAUCCAAGGGCAAGAUCAAGGUUCCGCCAUCGCGCGCAGAGCAUCCUGAAGCAAUUGAUGGAAUCUCCUAAAGCUGGAAUUGUCAUCAAGGAAAAUCCUCUAUAUAAUGAUUUGAUUUGCCUCUAGCAGGUCACUGAAAGAAGCACACCCAGAUGUGAUGUUUGUCAUGAUGGCUGAUUGUACAGUCGAGACUGCCAUGGCGGAGAUGGAGAGAAAAAUUAAUCUCCUGAUGAAGGUUGUUGAUGAACGAGACCACGAAAUUGCAGCUUUAAAGAGCAGAUGCAGACUCGUGAAACUGCUGAAUCAAGUCAAACUCCUGUCGUUAAAGUUGUGACAAAGGGAAGAACGUGGUGCAAGAAAAUCACCACAACAACAAUCAACUUCUGUGGCUUCUCUCUCGGUUCAACAAUUACAAGAUAUGAUCACAAACUCCAUCAGAGCACAAUAUGGAGGCCCAUCUCAGACUUCUUUCAUGUACUCUAAACCAUACACCAAAAGAAUCGACAACUUGAGAAUGCCGCUUGGAUAUCAGCCUCCAAAAUUCCAGCAGUUUGACGGAAAGGGCAAUCCAAAACAGCACGUUGCUCACUUCGUCGAAACAUGUGAGAAUGCAGGAUCAAGAGGAGAUCAACUAGUCAGACAAUUUGUUCGAAGCUUGAAAGGAAAUGCUUUUGAAUGGUAUACUGAUCUGGAGCCAGAAAGCAUUGAGAGUUGGGAACAACUAGAAAAGGAGUUUCUCAAUCGCUUCUACAGCACCAGGCGUACUGUAAGCAUGAUGGAGCUUACAAAUACGAAACAAAGAAAGGGAGAACCAGUCAUCGACUACAUCAAUAGAUGGAGAGCUCUAAGUCUUGACUGUAAAGAUCGGCUCACCGAACUGUCGGCUGUAGAAAUGUGCACCCAAGGCAUGCACUGGGGACUCCUCUACAUUUUGCAGGGAAUAAAGCCCCGCACAUUUGAAGAACUGGCAACUCGAGCUCAUGAUAUGGAGUUGAGCAUCGCCAGUAGAGGAACUAAAGAUUUUCUUGUUCCUGAAGUAAAGAAAGAUAAGAAAGAGAUGAAAGGUGCUGAAAAGAUAGUGAAAAGCACCGCGAAAGAAUCUGGUCGUAAACACAACCCCGCUGAAAUUCUCCAAAGGAAAGGAAGCGAGGGUUGAAAAGAAGGAUGAUGGAAGCGAAAGGCGACGUCUGACUUUAAAAGAAAGGCAGGAAAAAGUUUACCCAUUUCCUGAUUCAGAUAUCGCUGACAUGCUAGAGCAACUACUAGAGAAGCAGCUGAUCCAGCUGCCAGAAUGUAAACGACCUGAGCAAGCAGGAAAGGUAGAUGAUCCCAAUUACUGCAAGUAUCAUCGGGUCAUCAGUCAUCCAGUAGAGAAAUGCUUCGUGCUGAAGGAGCUAAUUCUAAGGUUGGCUCGUGAGAAAAGGAUUGAGCUAGAUUUGGAGGAAGUAGCUCAAACAAACCACGCUGCAGUGACGAUAAUGUCUGAGGUUUCUUCGUCGAGAUUGAUUUUUGAGCAAAGGAAAAGCUUGGUCCAGUUCGGGACCUUUGAGCCUAUAGUUGUCCAAUUCUUUCAGGAAGUCUCAUACGAGGAUCCUCAAGGAGGGAAAAGACCAAUCGAAGAAGACGAUGAAGGGUGGAUAGUGGUGACCCACCGAAAGAAAAGACAGUCGAUCCCGACCCAAAGAGAGUCUCGCUCUUACCAAAACUAUAGAAGAGGAAAUAAGACUCAAAAGAAUAAGAAAAAGAAGAAGACUCAUAAGCUUAAGCUCGUACAUAAUGAAGACAUGAAUUUCUCUCGACCUCAACGCUUAGUGACCUUGGCAGACUUCCUUCCAAAAAGCUUCCUUUGUGAUCAUCAGGAUGAAGACCCAGAAGUCGUUGCGUGUCAUGCUAUCAACACAACGGAGGAAGAAAUAAUCCCUCCAAGAUCACUAGAAGAAGAGGGAGUAUCAAAAGACCUUUCAAGGUUUAAUGUAGAGGAUCUAUUAUCACUUCCUCAAGAGACCAAAACCAUCCUUAUUGAUGCAUUGCUAAAUUCAAGAGCAUCAAGUUCGAGUACUCCGACUAUGACAUAUGAGAGUGGUUCUUAUUGUAUGUCUAUAGACUUCUCAGAUGAGGAUUUGUUGUUGGGAUCUAAACUUCAUAAUAGACCUUUGUAUGUUUCUGGAUACGUUCGAGAACAGAGAGUCGAUCGAAUCCUCAUUGAUAAUGGAUCAGCUGUCAACAUAAUGCCAAAGUCGACUAUGUGGCAAUUAGGCAUCUUGAUGGACGAGCUCUCAAAUAGCAAGCUAGUAAUUCAAGGUUUUAACCAAGGCAGCCAAAGAGCAAUAGGCAUGAUACGGUUAGAACUCAUAAUUGGCGACCUAAAGGCCAGUGCAUUGUUUCAUGUCAUAGACUCAAGGACUACUUACAAGUUGUUACUAGGGCGUCCUUGGAUUCAUGGAAACGGAGUAGUAACUUCAACACUGCAUCAGUGCUUCAAAUUUUAUCAGGACGGUGUAAAGAAGGUUGAAGCCGACUCUAAUCCAUUCUCAGAAGCUGAGUCUCACUUCGCAGAUGCAAAGUUUUAUUCAAAGAAUAAUAAUAUUUUAGAAGUUUUGCCUGCAGAAACCCCUCUUACAAAAGGAGAAGAUAAUUCACAAUGAAAUCACUCGCAACCACAGAACCACAUGAAAGUGCGAGAACCUUUAACUCUGGAAAGGGUGAAGCAUACACUAGCAGCACAAAGGGUAUGAUCUUGAAGGAUGAAAAUGCUGCAAACACAUUUUGCGUUAUGUCCCUCUGUCAAGGCGCAAGAAAGGCGAAUCACCAUUCAUGGAGUCUCCAAAAGGUUUGAAAGUUGGUGACAUCGAAAUCAUAAAAGAAAGCUUCACUACACCACUAACUAAGAUAGCGAAGCAGGAGGUAAAGGUAGAUCUGGUGGAAGCAAACUUGCCCCAAAGGCGAACGAAAGACGGAUUCGACCCCAAGGCUUACAAAUUGAUGGCGAAAGCAGGUUAUGACUUCACAGCUCACACCGAGUUUAAAAGCUUGGAAAUUCAUGACCGACCUGAGCUCUCCUCAACUCAAAAGAAGCUUCUACGGGAAGGACAUUCUAUACCCGUGUCGAGAAAAGGACUCGGAUACAAGUCGCCAGAACCGAUCCGUAUAACUAAAAAGGGGAAGGAAAAAGUGGUUGACAUCAAUCAUAUAACUAUAGAGGAGGAUGACAAUACUGACGUAAAAGAAGGUGAUAAUCAGAGAAUCUCAGUAUUUGAUCGAAUUAGACCAUCUGUUGCACGUCCCGUAGUAUUUGAAAGGCUAAGCAUGACAGAGGCAGAAAGAGAAAGGCUCCAGUCAGUACCAAGCCUUGAGAGACAUUCGGUCUUUCGAAGGCUAACUACGACUCCCAUAAAGGAAGAAAGCACAUGCCAUGCCUUGACAACUACAAGACCAUCAGCCUUUGAAAGGCUAGGUGUGUCUAAAAAGAAAAAUGUACAAGCACCCCGUGCUCCGAUUUUUAAUCAUCUCGGGGAUAAAGGAUCACACGACAACAUUGAUUCCAACAUAGAUACAAAGAAGAAGGAACCAAUGUCUCGUGUGAAAGUUUGGCGUCGAAUUAAGCAUACAGAUGUCGAAUUAUCGUAGUAAGAAGUUUCCUUGCGAGACAAAGGAAAAUGGAGAAAUUCAUAGCAACGUUCCUUCUCGCAUGAAAAGAAAAACUUUUGUUACUCUCAAUACAAGUCAAGGUUCGUUAAAGGUAAAAAGACAUGAUGUUAUACUAACGAAUCCUGAAAAAGAAGGGUCGGAACAAGGGGAAGGUGAAACUUCAUGUCAUCACAUCACCAUUAUUGAGGAAUCAGAGACUGGAACUCAUGAAGAAGACGCAGAAAAUGCCCCACAAAGUUUAGAGGAUGGUGGUCAAUCUACUGUAGACGAGCUAAAAGAGGUGAACCUUGGUACAAUAGAGGAACCACGUCCGACUUUCAUUAGUGCGUCCCUCUCUAACGAAGAGGUGGAUAAAUAUAUGAGUUUGCUCACCGAAUACAGGGACAUCUUUGCGUGGUCGUACAAGGAGAUGCCAGGACUUGACCCAAAAGUAGCAGUCCAUCAUCUUGCAAUUAAACCGGAUAUCGACCGAUUAAACAAGCACAACGACGUUUUCGACCGGAGCUUAUCCCUCAAAUCGAGGUGGAAGUCAACAAGUUGAUCGAAGCAGGAUUCAUUCGCGAGGUCAAAUAUCCAACGUGGAUAGCAAACAUUGUCCCUGUUAGAAAAAAAAUGGACAACUUCGCGUUUGUGUAGACUUUCGCGAUCUGAAUAAUGCAUGCCCUAAAGAUGAUUUUCCCUUGCCCAUCACCGAAAUCAUGGUUGAUGCAACUACUGGACACGAGGCGUUGUCGUUUAUGGAUGGGUCGUCUGGAUAUAAUCAAAUACGGAUGGCCCUCUCAGAUGAAGAAAUGACAGCUUUCAGAACUCCAAAGGGAAUAUACUGUUACAAGGUGAUGCCCUUUGGAUUGAAAAAUGUCGGCGCUACUUAUCAACGUGCCAUGCAGAAAGUGUUUGAUGAUAUGUUGCACAGGUAUGUUGAAUGUUAUGUUGAUGAUCUUGUAGUCAAAACAAAGAGACGACAAGACCAUUUGAAGGAUCUAAAAGUCGUGUUUGAUCGCUUGCGAAAAUAUCAGCUAAGGAUGAACCCUCUCAAGUGUGCGUUUGGUGUAACUUCAGGAAAAUUUCUUGGCUUCAUUGUAAGGCAUCGAGGGAUCGAAAUAGACCAGUCCAAGAUUGAUGCCAUUCAGAAGAUGUCAAGACCUAAAAGUUUGCAUGACCUAAGAAGUCUCCAAGGACGAUUGGCUUACAUCCGAAGGUUCAUCUCUAACUUGGCCGGUCGGUGUCAACCUUUUCAAAAGUUGAUGAGAAAAGGAGAAAAUUUUGUGUGGGAUGAAGCUUGUCAGAACGCUUUUGAUAGCAUAAAGAAAUACUUGCUUACUCCCCAGUGCUGGGAGCUCCAGUACCUGACAAACCACUAAUAUUGUACAUUGCUGCACAAGAAAGGUCCUUAGGAGCAUUACUGGCACAAGAAGAGGUAAAGGGAAAGGAGCGUUCUCUCUACUAUCUAAGCAGAACAUUAAUUGGGGCUGAAGUUAACUAUUCUCCUAUCGAAAAGAUGUGUCUUGCACUUUUCUUUGCCAUUGAUAAGUUGAGGCAUAUAUGCAGGCCUUCACGGUUCAUCUAGUGGCAAAAGCAGACCCUAUAAAGUAUGUUCUAUCCAGGCCAAUCAUCUGGACGCUUAGCCAAAUGGGCGGUUCUACUCCAACAAUAUGACAUUGUCUAUAUUCCCCAAAAGGCGAUAAAAGGACAAGCGCUAGCAGACUUUUUAGCAGACCACCCAAUUCCUUCGGAUUGGAAGUUAUGUGAUGACCUACCAGACGAUGAGGUUUUCUUCACAGAAGUUAUGGAACCUUGGACUAUGUACUUCGAUGGUGCAGCUCGAAGAAGUGGUGCGGGGGCAGGCAUUGUCCUCAUUUCUCCUGAGAAGCAUAUGUUGCCUUAUAGCUUUGCACUUUCCGAAUUGUGUUCAAACAAUGUGGCUGAAUAUCAGGCUUUGAUAAUUGGCCUUCAAAUAGCAUUAGAAAUCGGAGUGUCAUUCAUAGAGGUCUAUGGUGAUUCAAAAUUGAUAAUCAAUCAACUCUCGCUUCAAUAUGACGUGAAACAUGAAGACUUGAAGCCAUAUUUUGCUUAUGCUCGACAAUUGAUGGAAAAGUUUGAUAAUGUGAUGUUAGAACAUGUCCCUAGAGUAGAAAAUAAGAGAGCGGAUGCAUUGGCAAAUUUAGCCACGGCCUUGACCAUGCCAGAUGAUGUAACUCUGAACAUACCACUUUGUCAACGAUGGAUUAUCCCCAGUUAGGCCUGAAUGUCAGGAAGUGAACAUGGCAACAUCCUAUUUGAUUGAUGAAGAAGAUUGGCGUCAACCCAUCAUAGAGUAUCUUGAACAUGGAAAGCUUCCAAAGGAUUCUCGUCAUAAAAUUGAGAUACGAAGAAGGGCAGCACACUUCAUUUAUUACAAGGGAACUUUAUAUCGCCGUUCUCUUGAAGGGCUCUUCCUUCGAUGUCUCGGAAAGGAAGAUUCGGUAAAAGCUCUAAAGGAAGUACAUGCAGGUGUUUGUGGAGCACAUCAAUCGGGACCAAAGCUUCAAUUCCAGCUAAGAAGAAUGGGCUACUACUGGCCUAAGAUGAUCCAAGAUUCAAUAGACUAUGUGAAGAAGUGUGAGCCUUGUCAAUACCAUGCAAACUUCAUACACCAACCUCCAGAACCUCUUCAUCCAACUGUGGCUUCUUGGCCUUUUGAGGCUUGGGGACUCGAUCUGGUUGGCCCCAUUACACCAAAAUCAUCAGCAGGACAUUCUUAUAUCCUAGCAGCAACAGACUAUUUUUCAAGGUGGGCUGAGGCCAUUUCUUGAGAGAAGCCAAGAAGGAGAACGUGGCAGACUUUAUUCGAACACACAUCAUCUAUCGAUACGGUAUUCCACAUCGAAUCGUGACGGAUAAUGGAAAGCAAUUCUCCAAUAGUAUGAUGGACAAGUUAUGUGAAAAAUUCAAAUUCAAGCAAUAUAAGUCAUCCAUGUACAACGCAGCUGCGAAUGGACUAGCAGAAGCAUUCAACAAAACAUUGUGUAAUCUUUUAAAGAAAAUUGUCUCCAAGUCAAAGAGGGAUUGGCAAGAAAAGAUCGGCGAGGCAUUAUGGGCUUAUCGACGACUCAUCGCACCCCUACAGGGGUUACACCAUAUUCGCUUGUUUACGGUGUGGAGGCUGUCCUUCCUCUCGAAAGGGAAAUUCCGUCACUAAGAAUGGCAGUACAAGAGGGAUUGACUACCGAAGAUAAUGUGAAGUUACGUCUUCAAGAAUUAGAAGCACUUGACGAAAAGCGAUUAGAGGCUCAGCAAGCAUUGGAAUGUUAUCAAGUGAGAAUGUCCAAAGCUUUUGAUAAACACGUUAAACCUCGCUCCUUUCAAGUCGGUGAUCUAGUACUUGCCGUAAGGAGACCGAUCAUCACAACAAGGCAUACAGGAAAUAAGUUCACACCUAAAUGGGAUGGACCCUACAUUGUUAAAGAAGUUUAUACAAAUGGCGCAUACAAGAUCGUUGAUCAAGACGGACUAAGAAUUGGCCCAAUCAAUGGUAAAUUUCUUAAAAAAAUUUAUGCUUAAUUUUGUUAGGUAAAAAAAAAAAAAAAGUUGAACUACGUUAUGACUUGAUCCCUAUAUUAUAAAGGGUACGUAGGCAGCUUAAGGAAAACCUUAAGCCCAGUCCAAAAAAAAAAGUUGAACUACGUUAUGACUUGAUCCCUAUAUUAUAAAGGGUACGUAGGCAGCUUAAGGAAAACCUUAAGCCCAGUCCAGCAAAAAA
Molecule: long non-coding RNA, 39995 nt
Filed under: Cucumis sativus (cucumber)
Lineage: Eukaryota; Viridiplantae; Streptophyta; Magnoliopsida; Cucurbitales; Cucurbitaceae
Description: long non-coding RNA (CSAT_LNC003118)
Source: RNAcentral